AUAGUGCAAGGUUUACUUACUGAGCUGGUGUAGCUCAUACUUUUUUCUUUUUCUUUUUCUGUUCAAACAAAUAAGGUUAAGAAACAAGGAUGAUCUAGGCUGGAAGGUCUACAUCAAUAAGUAUGGAGAUUUGCAGUUGAAAUUAAAUUUAUAGGAUUAUUAUGGGCUUGUAAUCAAUUACUGAUGAAUUUUGAUAUCUGGGUUUAGUAUUAUCUUUUGGAUUUAGUCGC
This 230-nucleotide long non-coding RNA is filed under the name Elaeis guineensis (African oil palm). RNAcentral describes it as "long non-coding RNA (EGUI_LNC074468)". The record is from RNAcentral. Lineage: Eukaryota; Viridiplantae; Streptophyta; Magnoliopsida; Arecales; Arecaceae.